Long non-coding RNA from Mauremys reevesii (Reeves's turtle), 355 nucleotides. RefSeq lists it as uncharacterized. The record is from RefSeq and is a predicted model, not a curated record. Lineage: Eukaryota; Metazoa; Chordata; Testudines; Geoemydidae. The transcript has 3 exons.
CUCCCUUGUCAACUCCGCCUAUGCUUCUUGCUCUGGGGGGAGUACCGAAGUUGAAGGGAGAGUGCUUGGCAGCCGAUUUAUCGCGUCUUCACUAGUCGCGAUAAAUCGACCCCCGCUGGAUCUAUUGCUCAGGAGCUCUGCAGAAUCAACAGCUCUAAGAGUGAACUGGAUUCUUUCCAGGUGUGUUCAACAUCAACAAAACUGCCAAAUAUUACAUGUACUCCCCGAUGUACACAAACUAGUGGAGGGUUUCUCCAGAUGCUUAUUGAACAAUACAGAUUGCAGACAUUUGCUUAUCUUUCUACUGAACGUCCUCCAAGAUUAGCAGAUCCUAUAAUAAGGAAGAUUUAAAAAU